Molecule: long non-coding RNA, 1236 nt
Filed under: Callithrix jacchus (white-tufted-ear marmoset)
Lineage: Eukaryota; Metazoa; Chordata; Mammalia; Primates; Cebidae
Description: lncRNA (ENSCJAG00000056687.2)
Source: RNAcentral
AUGCUGCAGGGGCCUUUCAGGAUCUGGGAGGGGGUAGUCAGGAGGAAGGAGGGAGACGCAGGUGUACUUGGGCAAGUUCAGAUCAGGAGAGGUAGAGGCUGGCACCUGGGGCAGGUACCAGCCUGGGCACUGGUGGCCGCCCCCCAUCCUGUGUGUUUUCACCACCCAAUCUGGCUUGUCCCGGCAGCGCUUGAAUGCCACAGGCUGGCAGGGGCCUCCAGAGGCCCUGCCCCUCGAUCCCCAGCCUGGGUAGGGCCACCAGGUACGACCAGGUACCAGAGACCACCAGGAGCACGGGGCAGAAAGCCAGCGUCCAUGCCCCAGCAGCCCCCUCCUGCCUGUCCCUGGCUCCCAGCUCCCGCCCCUCCCCAGGGCCCCCACCUCCACGGCCCACUUCAUUUUCUGUUCUCAUUUUGCAGAGUUGCACAGGGAGAGAACUCAGCAUGGGGGGUGGUUCUUUGGGUUCUGUUUGUUUAUUUGUUUAAUUUGAUGGUUUGUAAAGUGAUGUUCCUCUUCCUUUUUUACACUUUUCAGCUCAUAUUUAACCUCUGUUUGGAAAAUGAUUCUUGUAACUGUACAUUUUUUUGCCUCCUAAUAACAAUGACAAGAACAAAAAUAAAUGACCGAUUUUGUGUUGGGGGGGUGUAUGGUGCCAGUUACUUUUCUGCAGUUGGCAUGGGCUGCCCAGCAGGCCCACAGGGCCACCAGCACACCCCCACACGCUGGUCACCAACAGAGCCAUGGGGCGCGAGCACAUGCCCACCCUGGAGCACAAUGGCACUGUACAAAUGGCCUCCCACACGUGUGUCGGGCUCUCGCACUUUCUCUUUCUCAUUCUCUUCAGAUUUCCGUGUAGUCCCAGCUUUGAGCCAGCGGCUGCUGCGUGGGGCUGCAGAGCUCGUUGAGGGAACUGCCCAGGGCUGGGUCAGGAGGCAGUGGCACAGGCUGGAUGCUGUUUUGUAUGGAAACUACGCUGCCCUUUUCUUACACUCAGUUCAGGCCUCAGCCCCUCUUUCCCAGGCCCUGGAUCUCACUGGCAGCCAGGGUUGGGCCAGAACCAGAACCCUGUCCCUCUGGCCGCCAGUCCCUACCCCAGAACCAGUUAACUGUGCUCCAGGGGUAGGGCUGGGCCCACAGAGCCUGGGAGAUCCUCACCGCCUUUGCUGCCUCUCAGUUAGUGCCAAUGCUGUGCGUUUCCCAGUAGGAGCCCUGCUCUCGCUCCUCUGCCGGAUCUGA